UACAGAGACUGCAAGCGUUAUUCGGAUUCACUGGGCGUAAAGGGUGCGCAGGCGGUCGGGUGUGUCAGAUGUGAAAUCCCGAGGCUCAACCUGGGAAUGGCAGUGGAAACUAGGGGACUGGAAUCUGGCAGAGGGGGGUGGAAUGCCGCGUGUAGCAGUGAAAUGCGUAGAGAUGCGGCGGAACACCGAUGGCGAAGGCAGCCCCCUGGGCUGAGAUUGACGUUCAGGCACGAAAGCGUGGGGAGCAAACAGG
Molecule: ribosomal RNA, 253 nt
Filed under: uncultured bacterium
Lineage: Bacteria
Description: partial 16S ribosomal RNA
Rfam family: Bacterial small subunit ribosomal RNA
Source: RNAcentral